Molecule: long non-coding RNA, 975 nt
Filed under: Homo sapiens (human)
Lineage: Eukaryota; Metazoa; Chordata; Mammalia; Primates; Hominidae
Description: HSALNT0370108
Source: RNAcentral
UCUUUCUCUCUCUGUCUGUCAUGUGAAGACAUAGAAGGUGGCCAUCUGCAAGCCAGGAAGAGAGUUCUCACUAAGAAACACACUUUGACUUUGGACUUCCCAGCCUCCAGAACUGUGAGAAAUAAAUUCCUGUUGUUUAAACUAUUCAGUCUACGGUAUUUUAUUAUGACAAUCCAAGCUGACUAAUACAUCUGCUUUUUUUUUUCACUCAACAUAUGCUUGUGCAAUUCAUUCAUGUUCAUAAGUGUACCUAUAGUUCAUUAAUUUUUUACUGCCAUAUUAAACUUGCUAUAUAAUAUUAAAUUACUUGAAAAUACCAGUUUAUUUACCCAUUCAAUAUUAGUGGACAUAUAAGUUAUUUACAGCUUUUAGUUAUUGUACAGACAAAGGUGUCAUGAGUAUUCUUAUACUUAUCUCCUAGGAUACAUGUGCAAGAAUUUCUUUAGGAUCUGUUUCUGGAUCAGAAUUGUGGUGUCAGAGUACACACAUCUUCAACUUCACCAGAUCAUGCCAGGUUGUUUUUCAAGUGGUUGUAACCAUCUACUCUUCCUAGCAAACACUUCCACUUGGGUACGCCACAUAAUUAAGUUCUGGCCAAUGAGAUACAUAAUACAACAGUCCCCUUAUCUCCAGAGACAUAUUCCAAGACCCACAACUGUUGCCUGAAACUAUGGAUAAUGCCGAACCCUAUAUGUACUAUGUUGUUUCUAAUAACCAAGAUGGCUAAUAAAUGAAUAAAGGACAGGUGGCUUAUAUAGCAGGGAUACACUGGACAAAGAGAUGAUAUGACUGGAGCUUCACCAGCCAUUCUGAAUCAUGAGAUGGCCUUAUAGAUACAAGUCAGAGAGGAUAUUGGAGCAGAGAGACAGAAAAGCCUGAGUUCCUGAUGACCAUGGAAACAUCGUACCAGUCUUGGAGUGCCAAUUCUGUACUUCUUUUAUGUGAGAGAGAAAUAAAUUCCUGUUGUCUAAGCUA